CCCCUGCUCCUUCCGUGAUCUAGAGGAGAUGAAGAAAGAAAAAUAAAAAAUUACACUCAUCAAAAGACAAUGAAGUCACAAGUUUCCAAGCUGUGAGCUACUGGACCAAGAAGCCAGUCUCACCUAUGUCUGAAUCACUACAGCAUUCCACUCUAAAGGACUCUGAAGGACUUUAAAGUAAUAACAUCCAACAUUCACACGUUUUUCAGUCGCUUCAGUUGAGACUAGAAAAUACAGCUUAUGUGAGGAAAGCUCCAAUUCAAAAUAAGCCCCAGACCCAGGAGAAAGAAGAGGGACUCAAUUUCCUGUUAAUUUCUUCACUUCCUCUACUCAGUUAAAGCUAGAGGCUUCAAAUUCACCAGUAAAGGAUGUACCAGAAAUAAUACAGGGUAUAGCUUGUAAGAGCUGUUUUUUAGAAAGUCACUGAACUUUCACUAUAGUCUGCCUAUUGAUAUUAAAUCCUCCUCUCUCCCAGGGUUAUUAUGUGAAAAGCACUUUGUGAAUAUUAAAUUGUUAAAUAAAACAUGAGUUAUCAUCA
Phascolarctos cinereus (koala) is the source of this 538-nucleotide long non-coding RNA. RefSeq lists it as uncharacterized. The record is from RefSeq and is a predicted model, not a curated record. NCBI's taxonomy places the organism in Eukaryota, Metazoa, Chordata, Mammalia, Diprotodontia, Phascolarctidae.